UAAUAGUGUAUAUUAAAGUUGUUGCAGUUAAAAAGCUCGUAGUUGAAUGUUGGUGUCGAACGAGCGGUCAGCUUCGGCUGUACUGCUCUCUCGACUCCUUCCUUCUGUGGACUACGUCGCACUUUACUGUGUGGCGCUAGGACGCAGAUCGUCUACUGUGAAAAAAUUAGAGUGUUCAAAGCAGGCCGUACGCUUGAAUACAUUAGCAUGGAAUAAUGGAAUAGGACGUCGGGCCUAUUUUGUUGGUUCUAGGACCGUCGUAAUGAUUAAUAGGGACAGUUGGGGCCGUUUAUAUUCCGUAGUCAGAGGUGAAAUUCUUGGAUUUACGGAAGAUAAACUACUGCGAAAGCAUUCGGCAAGGAUGUUUUCGUUAA
This 374-nucleotide ribosomal RNA is filed under the name uncultured eukaryote. RNAcentral describes it as "partial 18S ribosomal RNA". It matches the Rfam family "Eukaryotic small subunit ribosomal RNA", at positions 592 to 976 of the family's 1831-position model. The record is from RNAcentral.